RNAcentral lists this ribosomal RNA (395 nucleotides) under uncultured bacterium. RNAcentral describes it as "bacterial SSU rRNA". It matches the Rfam family "Bacterial small subunit ribosomal RNA", at positions 505 to 898 of the family's 1533-position model. The record is from RNAcentral.
GUGCCAGCAGCCGCGGUAACACGUAGGAGACGAGCGUUAUCCGGAUUUACUGGGUGUAAAGCGCGUGUAGGCGGUCGAGUAAGUUGGAUGUGAAAGCUCCCGGCUCAACUGGGAGAGGUCGUUCAAUACUGCUUGGCUAGAGGACAGCAGAGGGGAGUGGAAUUCCGAGUGUAGCGGUAAAAUGCAUAGAUAUUCGGAAGAACACCAGUGGCGAAGGCGGCUCUCUGGGCUGGUCCUGACGCUCAGACGCGAAAGCUAGGGUAGCAAACGGGAUUAGAGACCCCGGUAGUCCUAGCCGUAAACGAUGUGGACUUGGCGUUGGAGGGUUUAAAUCCUUCAGUGCCGCAGCAAACGCGAUAAGUCCACCACCUGGGGACUACGGCCGCAAGGUUAAA